This is a long non-coding RNA of Entelurus aequoreus (snake pipefish), 326 nucleotides long. RefSeq lists it as uncharacterized. Lineage: Eukaryota; Metazoa; Chordata; Actinopteri; Syngnathiformes; Syngnathidae. The transcript is spliced from 4 exons. The record is from RefSeq and is a predicted model, not a curated record.
GGAAAAUUGCCACAAACAAAGUCCUGGAGCAGCUUGGCCUCCGUGGAAAGACAGGAAAAGUGGCGUUUGAGGACUUGCCCCUUUACAGAAUAAUAAAUAAGGCAUGCAGGGGUGUUUACAAGCAGACGACCACAGCUGAAGUGGAUUGUGAGCUUGGAGAGGUCCUGAAACUGGCCACUUUUCGAAAGGGAGGUUCAAAAUUUGAGGAGAAGAGGAGGAAUUAAGAGGGAGGACAAAAAAGGAAAAAGAAACAAGCAAAAGAACAGAGUGAGAUGAGUGACCAGGAAGCGACGGCGAAGAACAAGGAUAAAGCCAAGAAAACGGAC